Molecule: ribosomal RNA, 581 nt
Filed under: uncultured bacterium
Lineage: Bacteria
Description: bacterial SSU rRNA
Rfam family: Bacterial small subunit ribosomal RNA
Source: RNAcentral
CCAGACUCCUACGGGAGGCAGCAGUGGGGAAUAUUGGACAAUGGACCAAGAGUCUGAUCCAGCAAUUCUGUGUGCACGAUGAAGUUUUUCGGAAUGUAAAGUGCUUUCAGUUGGGAAGAAAAAAAUGACGGUACCAACAGAAGAAGUGACGGCUAAAUACGUGCCAGCAGCCGCGGUAAUACGUAUGUCACGAGCGUUAUCCGGAUUUAUUGGGCGUAAAGCGCGUCUAGGUGGUUAUGUAAGUCUGAUGUGAAAAUGCAGGGCUCAACUCUGUAUUGCGUUGGAAACUGUAUAACUAGAGUACUGGAGAGGUAAGCGGAACUACAAGUGUAGAGGUGAAAUUCGUAGAUAUUUGUAGGAAUGCCGAUGGGGAAGCCAGCUUACUGGACAGAUACUGACGCUGAAGCGCGAAAGCGUGGGUAGCAAACAGGAUUAGAUACCCUGGUAGUCCACGCCGUAAACGAUGAUUACUAGGUGUUGGGGGUCGAACCUCAGCGCCCAAGCAAACGCGAUAAGUAAUCCGCCUGGGGAGUACGUACGCAAGUAUGAAACUCAAAGGAAUUGACGGGGGCCCGCACAAG